CCAGUCCCAUGCCAGAUGGACUCCCAUAUUUCUAAAGUACACAACAGCUGGAAUGAAGUGGGAAAGGUCAUUUGGACUGCACAGCCUGUGAUGCUUUGCUUCUGCUACUGUCUGCCCACUGGAAGCACUGGAUUUUUGGGAAUGGUCUUUCUUCAGGAAAAAAAAAGGACUAAACAAGUGUUUGGUCAAAUUUACCUGUCUGUAGAAACUCACUUCCAUAAAACCUUCAAUUUUUAUGGAGAAAAACCCACGAGAAGCCAGCACAAAGCUCAGUUUUUACCUGCAUCAUGUGAGGUGGAAGACGAAAUUCAUGAUGGGGUCCUUCAGAAGACAUCAGAUCCUUCUAAUUGCUCAUUUUCUACCUGCCAUGGAGGACAACAGGAGGAACAAAGGAAAAGGAACAACACUUGUCAAAUGAUCCUGAGGAUCUAAUUCUCACAGAGGCUUGUCCAAAGGGACUUUUGUAGUUCUCUGACAUGUUAUACUACAGACCCAUCUUGUCUGCUGAGCCUUAGAAGAGGAUGAGGAAAUGCUAAUUCCUCCCACUGAUGUCUUGCUGUUAAUGGAGACUGAUCUGAAAACAUGUAGGGAUCUGCUCAGCUGAACAGGCUUGCUGAAGUCAGAGCUUAAACAAAACCCAAAUGGCACGGUGACCAUUCAUUUGGAAAAGUAACUGACUGGCUGAAUUCUGGACGCUGUCUUAAAUCUUUUGACUGUCUCAAAUAUUUUGAAAACUUGGCUCAAUAGCCAGAAGAACAGUUUAUUCUGUGUGUAAUUGAAAAGGCCACAAGAAAGGCAAGCUUCUUGUAGUGGAAAAUGUGGUGUCACAUCUCAGAGCAAACUGAAGUGUGGCAUGAACCUUGGGAUAGCAAUGCUUGGAGGCUGUUCCAAACCCAAAUGGUGCAAAGAUUUGGGUGUUUUUCUCCCUUGGUUUUAAAAAGCAUUUCAAGAGGUGCACAAAAACCUUCUGAGUGAGCUUCCAGUGUGUAUGAAAGAACUGAGAGCAAGAAAGGGAGUUCACUUUAGUCUGAAAUUGAGAGGAAGAGGAGAUUUCCUGGCUUUAGAAACAUCUGGCUAUUCAUUAACAUGCUUUACUAGCUCUUCCCCUGGAAUUCAUUACUCGGGCAAGUAUUGGAGAUUCCUCCUCCCUCUUUCCUUCCUUUCCUUUGUUACAUCCCAAGAUGAUGCAGGGUUUACUCCUAUCCUUCUUUGCUGCCUUUUUCAUCUGGC
Zonotrichia leucophrys gambelii is the source of this 1230-nucleotide long non-coding RNA. RefSeq lists it as uncharacterized. The record is from RefSeq and is a predicted model, not a curated record. NCBI's taxonomy places the organism in Eukaryota, Metazoa, Chordata, Aves, Passeriformes, Passerellidae. The transcript has 3 exons.